AUAAAGGACGCAUACAAUGAUACAGAUUUUGAUGUAGUAGAUGAAGAAACCGGAUUUAUUACGAGGUCCACAAUUGCUGUGCCAAUAAAGUUUAAUAAUAGGCUAUUAGGCAAGUACAAUGAUAAAUUGUUAAAUAUAUUGUAACAUAUUUUUUUAGGUGUCGUUCAUGUUCUGAAUAAAGAGAAUAACCAAAUAUUUACUCGUGCAGAUGUAAAUGCGUUAGAAACCUUAGCUAUUUUUUGUGCAGUUGUUUUACGUUUGAAUACGAUGCAUAUUGAUAUUAAACACAACGUAAUAAAUUAAGAGUUGCUUAAAUUACUACAAUAUAAAAGACAGACUUUAUAAAAUAUGAUGUUUAGUGUUUUACAUAUAUUGUAGUUCAUUAAGCAAUUGAUUUGAUACAUUGAAAAACUCUAAUUCAAAUAAAUUAAAUUACAGGAUCAGUUUAAAAUAUGUUAUACAAAUCUACUUUUAAUGCUUCUUGCUCCCAAACCCAAUCAAUUAAGGGAAAUGAGAAUUUUGCCCAUUUUAAAAUUUCCUAUAAAAUGGAAAGAUUUUUAUAUACAUGUUAAAUAUCCCGUAUUCCAUGUUCCAUACAUGGUGAGGAUGAUUCAAGCACUGUUAGGCCUUAAAACAAUUGAUGAAAAUAUUAUAACGACCUAUGUGGUUUUAAAUAAAAAUAUGCAUGUUGAUGCGCCGUUUAGUCACUUUGGUCAAACUUUUGACACGUUUCAUGCCAUGUUCUUGAUUAUGUCUCGAAAUAUUGAUUAUUUUCAAACGGUGGAGAGAUAUGCCCUCAUAAUUGCACAACUUUCACGGAAUUUAGAAGGUACAAAUGUUAUCAGUUACUGUGUUCUUAAAAAAAAUAUUAUUGAGAAAAUUUAUGAAGAAACUCCCACGCAAAACUUUGUUUGUCAUUUAGCUUCUUUACUAUUAGGGGCAAGUCCAUAUUACAACAGAUGGUACUAAAAUUAACAAUUGUUUUGUAGGAAUGUCCUUUUCUAGGACAUCUUAGUUCAGAUCUUUUCAGGAAAAUAUGGUCAUUAGUUAAAUUUCUAAUAAGUAUGGAUAAACUGGGAUUUGAAAAAGUAAAAACUGAAUUAACUAGUAAUUUAAAGGAAAUAAAUUGGAAAUCUCCCGAAGUACGAUCAAAAGUUUGUGCUCUUGUAUAUAUUUCAGCACAAUAUCACAUAUUUUGGAAACCUUUUAAACAAGCACAAGAUAUACUACACAAAUUUCAAGAUGAAAUGUACAGUGAGGGAGAUUACUUUAAAUCAUUAGGUAUGCAACCUGAUGCGUUUUACGAUAGAACUAAGCGACUAACCGCGUCUUUGAACCAUCAAAUAUUUAUGCAACAAUACUGCUUACCAUGUAUGGCAUUGUUGGAGAAAAUAUUUCCAAACACAGGAGAUUUGUUGUAUAAAUGCCAAGAAUUUUAUGAAAAUCUUGAAAGAAAAAAUGAAUUUUUUAUAAAUAAAAGUGAAGGAGUAAAAAUGUGGUCACAGUAUGAAUCAAUAGCAUAUAAAUAAAUUUAUUUGAG
Molecule: long non-coding RNA, 1540 nt
Organism: Aethina tumida (small hive beetle)
Lineage: Eukaryota; Metazoa; Arthropoda; Insecta; Coleoptera; Nitidulidae
Exons: 5
Source: RefSeq, a predicted model, not a curated record